GAAACCGGCCAGGCCGGUCCGGCGGCUCUCGCCCAGUCCCGCGUACAUAACUCAGGUCGCCGUGCUCCACAAAUGCCUGUUCCUGGCUACAUCAUCACUCCUACGCUGAUGUCGUGUGGGUAGGUGCCCCUGGCUGAAAUAUUACAAGAUUUUUUUUUUUUUUUUCCCUAAUUACAAGGCAGUGAUAGUGAAAAGAUUGGACCUGGAAAAGUGUUUCCCAAAGCAAUCCGACUUGAAGCUUUGCAUUUCUUUCAUCUUCAGGGGGGAAAAAAAAAAAGAUAGCAUAUGCUAUUGUCAAAGGUGCGUGGGCAGCUGUAAAUGGGAAAGGAUUUCAUCUUCUUGAAGAAAAGGCUUUCUGCACAAACAGAAAAAAGGUCCUAUAGACUAAAAUUACUUCAAAGACUGAAAUCCUGCAUGUGGAACGGCGUGCGUUAGCACGGGAUGAACUGUGCUGAAUCACACACACGAAAUACCUUUGCAAGAAAGAGACUCCUCAAAGCCCUUGGUCAUCAGAUCAGCCGGCUCCGCGGUAACACUGACACAGGCGUCUUGCAGCCUGUUCUGCCUGCUCCCCACAAGAAGACUGAGAAACGCUAAAAUAGGUAUUUUCCAGGCAGUCCUUGCAAUACCAAACACGUCUCAGAAUAAAUCUGGGGGGCAGGGACUUAAUACUCUUCCUCAACAGUUCUGCCUCUUGUAUUCGUUUUUAUUGCUGGUGCACUCAGGCAAUUAUUAAUUCCUGUUUGUCUGUGUGAUUACUAGAGAACCACAGUGCACUCUCCUGGGGACACCGCUCCCAGAAGCCAGCCACUCCAAUGGGAAGGUGGUGGAAACAAAUGACUUCACCCGCAGACCAACAAGCAGUUAGUGAAGAGCAAAAUGAUUUAAAAAAGCAAGAUGCUGCCACUUAUAAAAGCCCCUGACCAAAUUGCCUGGGAUCCGUCUGCCUGAAAUAAUAACCUCCUGGCAAAAACCAUACAGAUACUCCCUUGGUUUUGGGAAAGGGAAAACACCAGAAGGCUGACAGUGAUCCCGGAGCUCAGGAUAGCAAGCUUUCUAGGUUUAUCUUAACAUAACAAAUGAAAAUUGUAUGGCAGGCUGAGGAAAUCUUGCAGAAGGACGUUUGUGAAGCUGAAAGCACAGACUGUAGGGGCAGAUAAUAAUAGCAGCAAGCAAGUAGAUAAAAGGGAACAUGAUCAUAACAGGCAGGACUUUCUCCUGUCCCCGUGAGGGGGAGAUUCUGCAGGUGCUCCCUAGACUAUUCUUUGGGAAGCUGGGAGUGGCUGGAGAAAUGGGCACCAUCAGUGCCAGAACAGGUUGGUACUUACCAUCAGAUUGUAUUUCAUCUUUGGCUGCAAACUCUCAUCCCAUGCAAAUGAAAAGAUUUUAAGUUGUUUUG
Long non-coding RNA from Aptenodytes forsteri (emperor penguin), 1399 nucleotides. RefSeq lists it as uncharacterized. The record is from RefSeq and is a predicted model, not a curated record. The transcript is spliced from 2 exons. NCBI's taxonomy places the organism in Eukaryota, Metazoa, Chordata, Aves, Sphenisciformes, Spheniscidae.